This 263-nucleotide long non-coding RNA is filed under the name Elaeis guineensis (African oil palm). RNAcentral's name for it is "long non-coding RNA (EGUI_LNC044663)". The record is from RNAcentral. Lineage: Eukaryota; Viridiplantae; Streptophyta; Magnoliopsida; Arecales; Arecaceae.
CCACCAGAACGACACUAAGAAGAUACUCUUUAGAUGUCAUACAACUUAGGAUUUAAUUUUUUGCUCUAACAUAUGAAAAAAUCAAAUCCUAGGACACUCAAGCAACACUUGCUGAAAAUCUCACCAUCCUUGUAGCAACUUUUGCCCCUCAAAAUUCUUACUUUUUUUCUUCAAAAUUUUUUUAGAAUUUUUUUUAUGUUUACCACAUCCCUCCUCUUGGUCUCAGCCAAAACUCACCACAAGAAGCUAUGUGGGACAUCCCC